Long non-coding RNA from Thalassophryne amazonica, 102 nucleotides. RefSeq lists it as uncharacterized. NCBI's taxonomy places the organism in Eukaryota, Metazoa, Chordata, Actinopteri, Batrachoidiformes, Batrachoididae. The record is from RefSeq and is a predicted model, not a curated record. The transcript has 3 exons.
CUCCCAGAUAUUUCCCUCUACUUCCACCUCCCGUUCUUCGCAUACUUUCCAGUGUAGAUUUUUACAGAUGUUAUUUUGUUUGCAGUGAUGGGCACAGCUAAC